UACGGGGGGGGCAAGCGUUGUUCGGAAUCACUGGGCGUAAAGGGUGCGUAGGCGGCAUUGCAAGUCGGAUGUGAAAUCCCUCGGCUCAACCAAGGAAGUGCAUCCGAAACUGCUGUGCUUGAGUACUUAAGAGGAUCGCGGAAUUCCCGGUGUAGAGGUGAAAUUCGUAGAUAUCGGGAGGAACACCAGUGGCGAAGGCGGCGAUCUGGGAAGAUACUGACGCUGAGGUGCGAAAGCGUGGGGAGCAAACAGG
RNAcentral lists this ribosomal RNA (253 nucleotides) under uncultured bacterium. Its description in RNAcentral is "partial 16S ribosomal RNA". It matches the Rfam family "Bacterial small subunit ribosomal RNA", at positions 524 to 776 of the family's 1533-position model. The record is from RNAcentral.